This 863-nucleotide ribosomal RNA is filed under the name uncultured Bacillota bacterium. RNAcentral describes it as "bacterial SSU rRNA". It matches the Rfam family "Bacterial small subunit ribosomal RNA", at positions 58 to 924 of the family's 1533-position model. Lineage: Bacteria; Bacillati; Bacillota. The record is from RNAcentral.
CAAGUCGAGCGAGAAAGUGUAGCAAUACAUGAGUAAAGCGGCGCACGGGUGAGUAACACGUGGAUAACCUGCCUCAAAGUGGGGAAUAACACCGGGAAACCGGUGCUAAUACCGCAUAUUCUGACGAGAUCUGUGGAUUUUGUCAGGAAAGGAGCAAUUCGCUAUGAGAGGGGUCCGCGGCUGAUUAGCUAGUUGGUGAGGUAAUGGCUCACCAAGGCCACGAUCAGUAGCCGGUCUGAGAGGACGGUCGGCCACACUGGAACUGAGACACGGUCCAGACUCCUACGGGAGGCAGCAGUGGGGAAUUUUUCGCAAUGGGGGCAACCCUGACGAAGCAAUGCCGCGUGGAUGAUGAAGUAUCUCGGUACGUAAAAUCCUUUCGACGGGGACGAAACCGCAAGGUUGACGGUACCCGUAGAAGAAGCCCCGGCUAACUCCGUGCCAGCAGCCGCGGUAAUACGGGGGGGGCAAGCGUUGUUCGGAAUUACUGGGCGUAAAGGGUGCGUAGGCGGCUUUCUAAGUCGGAUGUGAAAACUCUGGGCUCAACCCAGAGCCUGCAUCCGAAACUGGAGAGCUAGGGUUCUGGAGGGGAAAGCGGAAUUCCUGGUGUAGCGGUGAAAUGCGUAGAUAUCAGGAGGAACACCGGUGGCGAAGGCGGCUUUCUGGACAGAUACCGACGCUGAGGCACGAAAGCUAGGGGAGCAAACAGGAUUAGAUACCCUGGUUAGUCCUAGCCCUAAACUAUGGAUACUUGCUGUGGGGGGGGAUUGAAGCCCCUUGUGGCGAAACUAACGCAUUAAGUAUCCCCCCCCGGGGGAGUACGGUCGCAAGGCUGAAACUCAAAGGAAUUGACGGGGGCCCCC